This 741-nucleotide ribosomal RNA is filed under the name Salmonella enterica. RNAcentral's name for it is "partial 23S ribosomal RNA". It matches the Rfam family "Bacterial large subunit ribosomal RNA", at positions 550 to 1191 of the family's 2925-position model. The record is from RNAcentral. Lineage: Bacteria; Pseudomonadati; Pseudomonadota; Gammaproteobacteria; Enterobacterales; Enterobacteriaceae.
CUGAAACCGUGUACGUACAAGCAGUGGGAGCCCCACCACUAAGCCAGUGGUGAACUCCACAUACGCAUCCUUUGCUGAGGAUACGGUUAACGGAGCGAAAGCGACGUUCAACCGCAAAAGAAGCAGAGGGGGCUUAGUGGUGGGGUGACUGCGUACCUUUUGUAUAAUGGGUCAGCGACUUAUAUUCUGUAGCAAGGUUAACCGAAUAGGGGAGCCGGAGGGAAACCGAGUCUUAAUUGGGCGUUAAGUUGCAGGGUAUAGACCCGAAACCCGGUGAUCUAGCCAUGGGCAGGUUGAAGGUUGGGUAACACUAACUGGAGGACCGAACCGACUAAUGUUGAAAAAUUAGCGGAUGACCUGUGGCUGGGGGUGAAAGGCCAAUCAAACCGGGAGAUAGCUGGUUCUCCCCGAAAGCUAUUUAGGUAGCGCCUCGUGAAUUCAUCUCCGGGGGUAGAGCACUGUUUCGGCUAGGGGGCCAUCCCGGCUUACCAACCCGAUGCAAACUGCGAAUACCGGAGAAUGUUAUCACGGGAGACACACGGCGGGUGCUAACGUCCGUCGUGAAGAGGGAAACAACCCAGACCGCCAGCUAAGGUCCCAAAGUCAUGGUUAAGUGGGAAACGAUGUGGGAAGGCCCAGACAGCCAGGAUGUUGGCUUAGAAGCAGCCAUCAUUUAAAGAAAGCGUAAUAGCUCACUGGUCGAGUCGGCCUGCGCGGAAGAUGUAACGGGGCUAAACCAUG